RNAcentral lists this long non-coding RNA (2546 nucleotides) under Olea europaea (common olive). RNAcentral's name for it is "long non-coding RNA (OEUR_LNC006858)". The record is from RNAcentral. Lineage: Eukaryota; Viridiplantae; Streptophyta; Magnoliopsida; Lamiales; Oleaceae.
AAAAUAUCAAUUGUGACUCAUUCUUAUAAACACAACUAUUUCUAAACAUUUGCCAAAUAUAUGCUUAGUCUUCACCCAUACUGUUCAAUCAAAUUAUUCUGAAAACCCAGAGUUACAUUUUGAAAGACGGAAUUAAUAGCCCAAGGCAACAGCACUAAAAAUGCCAAAAUCAAAUGAAUUCCAGGGAACAUACAUUUACUAAAAGUCUCUUUCAGAGUGGGGGAAAAAUUACAUAGCAGUAAGGAGAGCUAAUACGGAAGAUCAAUAGGGAAGGUCGCCUUCAGGUAGAUCCCAAUUAUCAUCCUCCUCUUCCUUCUUGUUCUUGGGCGUCUCUUGUCUAUCCUGAGUGAAGUUUCUUGAUUGAGGGCGUCUGUUGUAGUGAAAGUAACAUUAUCAUUGAAGAAUACGAUACGAGUAUGAUAACUUUCCAAUGUAUCCAUUUGCUUUUAUUCAGCCAAAAAAUUUAAAAAUAAAAAAUAAAAAAAAUCAUCACAAUUGUGUACCAUGGCUAAUAUAAGCAUGAAAAACUAUAAACAAUAGAUGUCCGCCCUCUAAUAUAUCCCCAAUCUACCUCAAGGGUCUUAGAAACGAAAAGAAACUCAAGCUAACAUAUUACUAUCACAGAGCAUUUGGAUAUCAAAGAAAAAUGGCCUUGGGCUGUCCAAAAUCUGCUCGAAAAAGCUAGAUCAUUAUGAAGCAAAAUGGAGAUCACAUUUUGGAGGGAAGAGACAGUCACUUCAGAUUGCAUGCCUAGUGCUGGUUGUCUUGAAAAGUGCUAAAAGUCCCAAAGCAAGCUGAUUUGAAGGAGAAAUUUGGGUCAUCCUCAAGCUAGACAAGUUGGGUGUACCUAACAUAGGAAGCAAAGUAGAGGAGUUUUAUGGGGUUGUGUGAGCUGAGUGAGUGUUUGUAAUUCCUAAUAUAUGUAUCCCUCGAAUUUCUUUACUUUACCUUUUAAUCCACUACGAAGAUGGUCUAGUUAUGGAUUUGCUGACUCUUGGCAAUGGCAGUACUACUUUGACGUCUAGAUCUUUAUGAGAAAAACCUCUCACUCACUUUCUCCAUUGUAAAUGCAAUUCCGGAGGUAAGAUGGCCAUGUCACCAUCCAAAUUUUUUGUCCGACACUAAACUUUAUGCUAACAAACCAACUAUCCAUCAGAAAAAAGUCCAGGGAACAUACAUUUACUAAAAGUCUCUUUCAGAGUGGGGGAAAAAUUACAUAGCAGUAAGGAGAGCUAAUACGGAAGAUCAAUAGGGAAGGUCGCCUUCAGGUAGAUCCCAAUUAUCAUCCUCCUCUUCCUUCUUGUUCUUGGGCGUCUCUUGUCUAUCCUGAGUGAAGUUUCUUGAUUGAGGGCGUCUGUUGUAGUGAAAGUAACAUUAUCAUUGAAGAAUACGAUACGAGUAUGAUAACUUUCCAAUGUAUCCAUUUGCUUUUAUUCAGCCAAAAAAUUUAAAAAUAAAAAAUAAAAAAAAUCAUCACAAUUGUGUACCAUGGCUAAUAUAAGCAUGAAAAACUAUAAACAAUAGAUGUCCGCCCUCUAAUAUAUCCCCAGUCUACCUCAAGGGUCUUAGAAACGAAAAGAAACUCAAGCUAACAUAUUACUAUCACAGAGCAUUUGGAUAUCAAAGAAAAAUGGCCUUGGGCUGUCCAAAAUCUGCUCGAAAAAGCUAGAUCAUUAUGAAGCAAAAUGGAGAUCACAUUUUGGAGGGAAGAGACAGUCACUUCAGAUUGCAUGCCUAGUGCUGGUUGUCUUGAAAAGUGCUAAAAGUCCCAAAGCAAGCUGAUUUGAAGGAGAAAUUUGGGUCAUCCUCAAGCUAGACAAGUUGGGUGUACCUAACAUAGGAAGCAAAGUAGAGGAGUUUUAUGGGGUUGUGUGAGCUGAGUGAGUGUUUGUAAUUCCUAAUAUAUGUAUCCCUCGAAUUUCUUUACUUUACCUUUUAAUCCACUACGAAGAUGGUCUAGUUAUGGAUUUGUUGACUCUUGGCAAUGGCAGUACUACUUUGACGUCUAGAUCUUCAUGAGAAAAACCUCUCACUCACUUUCUCCAUUGUAAAUGCAAUUCCGGAGGUAAGAUGGCCAUGUCACCAUCCAAAUUUUUUGUCCGACACUAAACUUUAUGCUAACAAACCAACUAUCCAUCAGAAAAAAGUGCAAUGUAAUUUGAAAAGAGUGAAAGAAAAAGGGUAUCUUCUCCUUUCAGAGGGGAUUUUCAUUGUCUACAACAAAAGGGUAAAUAGCUCCAAAACUCGACUGAACAAUAAUAUAGUGCUUAUAGACAAUGGGCCCGUAUGGAUCAAAAGAAAAAUUAAGCAGCCUGUAUGCACUAAAACGAAAGCAAACAGCACAAUAUAAGAACAAAUUGACUAAUAAUUAUAGCAAUUCCAAGACUUCAAAAACUUGUCAACUCAAAAACGGGACAAGAAACCACAAAGCAGUUCAAAAUCCACUAAUCGCCCAACUACACACAUUCAUAGAUCAAUAUACAGAACAAAUUGAAUAGAAUUCAGCCAACUGAACUGAGAAUGAAAGAGAAAAUAAGAAAUGGAAC